GAUGCUAGUUUCUAGAGAUAGAAAGUUACUUCGGUACAUCGGUGACAGGUGGUGCAUGGUUGUCGUCAGCUCGUGUCGUGAGAUGUUGGGUUAAGUCCCGCAACGAGCGCAACCCCUAUUGUUAGUUUGCCAUCAUUCAGUUGGGCACUCUAGCGAGACUGCCGGUAAUAAACCGGAGGAAGGUGGGGAUGACGUCAAAUCAUCAUGCCCCUUAUGACCUGGGCUACACACGUGCUACAAUGGUUGGUACAACGAGUUGCGAGUCGGUGACGGCGAGCUAAUCUCUUAAAGCCAAUCUCAGUUCGGAUUGUAGGCUGCAACUCGCCUACAUGAAGUCGGAAUCGCUAGUAAUCGCGGAUCAGCACGCCGCGGUGAAUACGUUCCCGGGCCUU
This 392-nucleotide ribosomal RNA is filed under the name uncultured Streptococcus sp. RNAcentral describes it as "bacterial SSU rRNA". It matches the Rfam family "Bacterial small subunit ribosomal RNA", at positions 991 to 1382 of the family's 1533-position model. The record is from RNAcentral. Lineage: Bacteria; Bacillati; Bacillota; Bacilli; Lactobacillales; Streptococcaceae.